This 93-nucleotide transfer RNA is filed under the name Actinocatenispora comari. RNAcentral's name for it is "tRNA-Pro". Lineage: Bacteria; Bacillati; Actinomycetota; Actinomycetes; Micromonosporales; Micromonosporaceae. The record is from RNAcentral.
UGGGGCCAGGUCGAGGAUCCGGGCCCGCUGUUCGGGCCGACGACGGUCCGCUGGUACCCGACCGUGCAGUGGUUCGACGGCGCCGGCUUCGCC